GAUGAACGCUGGCGGCGUGCCUAAUACAUGCAAGUCGAGCGAACGGACGAGGAGUUUGCCUCUCUGAUGUUAGCGGCGGACGGGUGAUUAACACGUAGAUGACCUAUCUAUAAGACUGGGAUAACUUCGGGAAACCGGAGCUAAUACCCGAUGAUAUUUUGAACCGGAUGGUUCUAAAGUGAUAGACGGUCUUGCUGUCACUUAUUCAUGGAUCCUCGCUGCAUUAGCUAGUUGGUACGGUAACGGCUUACCAAGGCAACGAUGCAUAGCCGACCUGAGAGGGUGAUCGGUCACACUGGAACUGAGACACGGUCCAGACUCCUACGGGAGGCAGCAGUAGGGAAUCUUGGGCAAUGGGCGAAAGCCUGAUGGAGCAACGCCGCGUGAGUGAUGAAGGUCUUCGGAUCGUAAAACACUGUUAUUGGGGAAGAACAUAUGUAUAAGUAACUGUGCGCGUCUUGACGUUACCUAAUCAGAAGGCCACGGCUAACUACGUG
Molecule: ribosomal RNA, 497 nt
Filed under: uncultured bacterium
Lineage: Bacteria
Description: partial 16S ribosomal RNA
Rfam family: Bacterial small subunit ribosomal RNA
Source: RNAcentral